This is a long non-coding RNA of Bos taurus (domestic cattle), 1362 nucleotides long. NCBI's taxonomy places the organism in Eukaryota, Metazoa, Chordata, Mammalia, Artiodactyla, Bovidae. The record is from Ensembl.
CCUAACGACGUUCUCCAGCCUUCAGACUUCAAAGUUGCACAGAUAUUGCAGAGCCAUAGUUGAGGGGUGAGGGGGUGGGGGACACAGUUGCUUCCCAGUCUUCCACCCCCUCCACUCUUUGGGCAACUUUUCCUGGAACCGCCUGCUGUUCUUGGCUGCUGUGGGAAGGAGCCCGCAUCCAGGUGAAGAUGCAGAGCAGUCAGCUGUGAGCCCGGGGGAACUGAUGGAACCAGAUCCUGACCUAAGUCAAUUGCUAGGACUCUGUCCCUCAGGGAGUAAAGCACAGAGAACAUUUCCAUCCUGUGUUCAUCCACGCCAUCUACCAGAGCUCCUGGUCCCUGCCCAUGACAUAAAGACACCACAAUGAGCUGGAUGUGGGGGCCACCGGCUCCAGAGGCUAAGGGAGAGUGGACCUGUGCCGCUCUGUGCUCAACCAGUUCACCGAAGAGCCGGCAACCAGCUCUGACACAGGCGGCCACACCCCACUUCUGGAAAACACCGCUCAGACUCCAAGGGUGCUUCUUGGCCACCCCUUCCCCCCUGGGGCCCUCCCCCACCGCAGAUCCCGCUGCCAGCUCUGGGGGCUGUGUGGGCCCUGGGCCACCACGAGAAGCACUUGGUACUGCAGGCUCUUGGAGCUCGGCACAAAAGAAUUCAAGCUCUGCAGUCGGAAAACCAAGCAGCCUUCACAACUUCCGGGUGCGGACCUCGGGCGAGUUGCAGGGCUCCUCUCCAUGUCAGCUCCUCCUUUGUAGCGUGGAGAUAAGAUGUCUCUUGCAAGGGCCCAGUUUCUCCCUCGGGCAUCCAGCCUGCAGGAACGUUCCAGGCCACAGGGUCGCUCUUCCUGGCCCCACCUCUCGCCUUGACCUGGGUCAUUUUUUGCAGCACUUCUCAAAUGCUGCCCUGCACUGUCCUCGUGGCAGAAGGGAACUUUUCAGCUGCUUACAAGGAAGCCACGCACACACAAAAAAACUGACUGUUGCCAAUUCUCGCCUUCAAAAGUGACAGAUCAUAGUGGAGAUGCUGGCCUCAGGGUUCUGGUUAGCCAGGAGCAGAGGAGAACUUGUCAUUUCAGAGCACCAGCCAGUGCCUCAUGCUACUAACUGCUGGAGUCUUGGCUUACCUGAGCAAGUUAGUGAGCUUGUGUGUUACUCAGGACUCUUUUCACUGCAAAUGACAGAUUUGCAACCCAAAUCCCUAAAGUAAGAAUAAUAUUUAUUGGUUCACUACAUGGAAAACAGAAUCUAUAGUUGUCCUUAGCUUCAGGUACGGCGGUAUCCAGGGGCUCAGUGGUGUGUCUCCUCUGCUUUCCUCCGUGGAUAACCUCAUCUGUUUAACAGAGGAUGAUGGUAGCUCUAGGUU